UACGGGGGGAGCAAGCGUUGUUCGGAUUUACUGGGCGUAAAGGGCGCGUAGGCGGCCACCGCAAGUCGGUUGUGAAAUCUCCGGGCUUAACCCGGAAAGGUCAAUCGAUACUGCGGGGCUAGAGUGCAGAAGGGGCAACUGGAAUUCUCGGUGUAGCGGUGAAAUGCGUAGAUAUCGAAAGGAACACCUGCGGCGAAGGCGGGUUGCUGGGCUGACACUGACGCUGAAGCGCGAAAGCUAGGGGAGCGAACGGG
RNAcentral lists this ribosomal RNA (254 nucleotides) under uncultured bacterium. RNAcentral describes it as "partial 16S ribosomal RNA". It matches the Rfam family "Bacterial small subunit ribosomal RNA", at positions 524 to 776 of the family's 1533-position model. The record is from RNAcentral.